UUAUAUUACAAAUAGGUCCAGAGGGGUUAGUCAUCUUGUCCAGAAUGGUGGAACCAGGUUAAGGAUCAGGCAGUCUGGGCUGGGCAUGGUGGCUCACAUCUGUGGUAGGCUUGAGGAUGAUACACACACACACACACGCAAUGCAAUUCUAUUAUUGCCCAAAGAAAAUAGACCCAUUAAGGAAGUCCAACUUCUGCUGCGUGGACCAGUGCUGCCACAUCACACAUAGACCAAAGGCUUAGGUUUUUGUGGUUUUGGUUAUUUAUUUUAUCUUUUUAUUUUAUUUUAU
This 289-nucleotide long non-coding RNA is filed under the name Homo sapiens (human). RNAcentral's name for it is "non-protein coding lnc-G6PC-1:1". The record is from RNAcentral. Lineage: Eukaryota; Metazoa; Chordata; Mammalia; Primates; Hominidae.